GAUGAACGCUGGCGGCGUGCCUAAUACAUGCAAGUCGAGCGAACAGACGAGGAGCUUGCUCCUCUGACGUUAGCGGCGGACGGGUGAGUAACACGUGGAUAACCUACCUCUAAGACUGGGAUAACUUCGGGAAACCGGAGCUAAUACCGGAUAAUAUAUUGCACCGCAUGGUUCAAUAGUGAAAGACGGUUUUGCUGUCACUUAUAGAUGGAUCCGCGCCGCAUUAGCUAGUUGGUAAGGUAACGGCUUAACAAGGCGACGAUGCGUAGCCGACCUGAGAGGGUGGACGGACAGACUGGAACAGAGGCAGAGUCGAGACUCCUACAGGAGGAAGCAGUAGGGACUCUUACGCGAGGGGGGAGUGGCUGACGGUGGAAAACCGGGUGAAGGAUGAAGGUGCUAGGAUCGUAGAACUCUGUUAGUAGGGGAGAAGAAAUGUGUAAGUAACUAUGAACAUAUUGACGGUACCGAGUCAGAAAGCCACGGCUAACUACGUG
This 497-nucleotide ribosomal RNA is filed under the name uncultured bacterium. RNAcentral's name for it is "partial 16S ribosomal RNA". It matches the Rfam family "Bacterial small subunit ribosomal RNA", at positions 28 to 507 of the family's 1533-position model. The record is from RNAcentral.